This 75-nucleotide transfer RNA is filed under the name Phytoplasma sp. Its description in RNAcentral is "tRNA-Gly". It matches the Rfam family "tRNA". Rfam says of the family: Transfer RNA (tRNA) molecules are approximately 80 nucleotides in length. The record is from RNAcentral. Lineage: Bacteria; Bacillati; Mycoplasmatota; Mollicutes; Acholeplasmatales; Acholeplasmataceae.
GCGGGUGUCGUAUAAUGGCUAUUACCCUAGCCUUCCAAGCUAGAGACGUGAGUUCGAUUCUCAUCACCCGCUCCA